CUACCGUUACAUAUAUUUAUUAUAUCGUAUUGUUUACGCAGAUUAUUUAGAGAUGGGCAAUUUUGGAAAAGAUGGAGUACGGAAAAAUCUUCGGAUUGUCAUAAUUGGCAAGAUUAUAGUCCAUAUUAUCCGCAAUUCUUGCAUCGAAAUCGCCCAAAAUUACGGAAUAAGGAGUCAUAUUUUGCCAGAUCUCCAUUUGUUUAGUUAUUUCGUUCAAAGCUAUUAUGUCGUCGGGUGGAAUAUAGGUAUCCAAGAUGACGGCGCUUCCUGUAGCCUCGAACAAGAUCGCUCCGCGACGAUUGACGUAGAGGGAGCUGUUUACAUAUUUGUGACGAAUUAAUUAAUUAUGUAAAUUAUCGAAGGAUAACGUGUUUGCGGGUGCGUUUGGUGGCGACGCGAAAACGAAAGGAGUUAUUACGAAUUUUCAAAGUCGAGGUUUUUAUAAUAAGGUUUACUUUUUUGUGUUUUUCUCUCGUUGUUAAUUUGCUAAUAAUAAGAAUAAUAAUGGGAAAUUUAGAAAUUAACUGUGAAUGUUUUUGGUUAAAAUGCGCAAGUAGGCAAUUUUAUAAACUUUUAGAAGCGGAAUAUGAUGUAAAUUUAGGUUUAGAUACCAGAAUUGGUAGUAGCGACUUCGAGUUUGCCGUAAGUUUGGGCAUUCGGCACGUCGAGGACGUUUGUCAAAUAUGUUCGAACAAGUGUAAAAUAAGGUACAGAUGCGAUAGGAAAUCGUGUGUUAUGAAGUGCGAAAAAUGUCGGCGGAACAACAAUUCGGCCACCUUUAAAGGAAAAUGCGGCAAAAUUUCUUGGGCGGCGAUAUUGUCGUUUUUAUGGCACUACGUUCCGGAAAAAUAGCAACGCGGAAAGAACCCGAGAGUGUACCCGCCGCUCCAGUUUCGAAAACGAGAAGAAAGCAAAAAAAAAAAAAAUGGAAACAAAGUCAAGGCAACAGAUGAAAUCAAACGUCGUCGCAAAAAAACAGAAUCCAGCGAACAAAAUAGAAAAGCCCGUGCGUUACCCUUGAAGUAAUUACGAAAGUUGCCACAAGGGUAAACUGAUCGAAUCGGAUAGACAUAUUAUCACUUGUGACGUAAUGAAUCUUGAAAUGCUUUGAAUCUUAUUGGUUCUGUAGGAUACAGAAAAACCUGUUAUAAAUGGGUGAAGUCAACUAAUAAGGGUGGACCAUUUCUGUUUUAACCUGUUAUAAAAUAUGGAUUCUUUUCCACCCUUCUUCCGAACGUCGAUCGAUGGAAUGUAUUCAUAAAUAGUCGCUAGUCACGGAGGAACCCAAAUUUACAAAGUUAAAUGACAAACUCGUGAUCACUGCCUUUUGGAAUCAGGGUGUAAAUUACUUUGAUACCCUAGAAAAAAAUGCUAUCAUUUUACGUACAUCUUUAGAAAACCAAUAAAGACAAAGAUGCCAAACAUUACAGAGGAAAGAGAUCGAGAUUCACCAAGACAUGAGAUUUCACACUCUUGCUAGGACUUUAAUACUUCAUCCCUGGUUUUACACCCUCAGAUUGAAGUUCUCUUUGGCAGAAACCGAGUGAAACUCUCUUGUAUGAGACUAAAGGAUGGCUAAAAGGUCGAGAAGACGAGUUUUUACCAAAAUGUCUCCAUAGCCCGGAAAGAGUAAAUGGAGAAAAUAUAUUUUAUAAGGGGUAAUGUUUCAAUGAUCACUGCGUUUGACUGUUACACAUACCAGAUUUGGUUGGUCUGUAUAUUAAACAAACCCAUUUAUCACCGAUCGCGUAUUACUUAUUGACUCAACCUCCUAUAAGAUUUGGAUUCAGCUUUGUUAAUACGAGAUAUCACCAUAGUUUGCAUACAAUACAACGAACCAAUGAAGAGUUCGG
Long non-coding RNA from Centruroides sculpturatus (bark scorpion), 1853 nucleotides. RefSeq lists it as uncharacterized. Lineage: Eukaryota; Metazoa; Arthropoda; Arachnida; Scorpiones; Buthidae. The record is from RefSeq and is a predicted model, not a curated record. The transcript has 4 exons.